This 670-nucleotide ribosomal RNA is filed under the name Streptomyces sp. Its description in RNAcentral is "bacterial SSU rRNA". It matches the Rfam family "Bacterial small subunit ribosomal RNA", at positions 118 to 802 of the family's 1533-position model. The record is from RNAcentral. Lineage: Bacteria; Bacillati; Actinomycetota; Actinomycetes; Kitasatosporales; Streptomycetaceae.
UGGGCAAUCUGCCCUUCACUCUGGGACAAGCCCUGGAAACGGGGUCUAAUACCGGAUGAUACUUCUGCUCGCAUGGGUGGGGGUUGAAAGCUCCGGCGGUGAAGGAUGAGCCCGCGGCCUAUCAGCUUGUUGGUGAGGUAGUGGCUCACCAAGGCGACGACGGGUAGCCGGCCUGAGAGGGCGACCGGCCACACUGGGACUGAGACACGGCCCAGACUCCUACGGGAGGCAGCAGUGGGGAAUAUUGCACAAUGGGCGAAAGCCUGAUGCAGCGACGCCGCGUGAGGGAUGACGGCCUUCGGGUUGUAAACCUCUUUCAGCAGGGAAGAAGCGAAAGUGACGGUACCUGCAGAAGAAGCGCCGGCUAACUACGUGCCAGCAGCCGCGGUAAUACGUAGGGCGCAAGCGUUGUCCGGAAUUAUUGGGCGUAAAGAGCUCGUAGGCGGUCUGUCGCGUCGGAUGUGAAAGCCCGGGGCUUAACCCCGGGUCUGCAUUCGAUACGGGCAGACUAGAGUGUGGUAGGGGAGAUCGGAAUUCCUGGUGUAGCGGUGAAAUGCGCAGAUAUCAGGAGGAACACCGGUGGCGAAGGCGGAUCUCUGGGCCAUUACUGACGCUGAGGAGCGAAAGCGUGGGGAGCGAACAGGAUUAGAUACCCUGGUAGUCCACGCCG